This 393-nucleotide ribosomal RNA is filed under the name uncultured bacterium. RNAcentral describes it as "bacterial SSU rRNA". It matches the Rfam family "Bacterial small subunit ribosomal RNA", at positions 971 to 1425 of the family's 1533-position model. The record is from RNAcentral.
UUACCAGCUUGANAUGAAAGAGAUUCCUUCGGGCACAGGUGCUGCACGGCUGUCGUCAGCUCGUGUCGUGAGAUGUUGGGUUAAGUCCCGCAACGAGCGCAACCCCGUCCUAGUUACUAACUCCGAGACUCUAGGAGACUGCCUUCGUAAGAGGAGGAAGGUGAGGACGACGUCAAGUCAUCAUGGCCCUUACGCUGGGCAACACACGUGCUACAAUGGAGGACAUGAGGCACCGCGAGGGGAGCAAUCUAUAAACUGUCUCAGUUCGGAUUGUAGUCUGCAACUCGACUACAUGAAGCUGGAAUCACUAGUAAUCGUAAUCAGCAUGUACGGUGAAUACGUUCCCGGGUCUUGUACUCACCGCCCGUCACACCAUGGGAGUUGAUUACCGAA